ACCCUUGUGGAGGAGGACGCCGAAGGUGGGGCUAAUGACUGGGGUGAAGUCGUAACAAGGUAGCCGUACCGGAAGGUGCGGCUGGAUCACCUCCUAACAGGGAGACAACAAAAUGUUUAUAUUAUUAUUUUGUCACCUUAGGUCGAUCGGUAUCUCACAUUCUUAAUUUAUUAAGGAUUUUAUUUCCUAAGUUUUUUCUAGGUCACACCCAUUACUUUUCCUGGGCCAUUAGCUCAGGUGGUUAGAGCGCACCCCUGAUAAGGGUGAGGUCCCUGGUUCAAGUCCAGGAUGGCCCAUAUCUCUAUGUUGGGGGUAUAGCUCAGUUGGUAGAGCGCCUGCUUUGCAAGCAGGAUGUCAGCGGUUCGAGUCCGCUUACCUCCACUGAUUACCACCUCUUCCAUAAUUUUUAUUAAGGAAAUGUUUUGAGUAGUGAUCAAAUUCUGAACGAAUCUAGCUUCCUAAUGCAUUCAUUAAGAUGCUGGACUCAUUGAAUUAAUUUCAUUGUUUUCAGAGAACCUUGACAACUGCAUAGACUAUUUUUAAAGACAAUAAGCAUCUUUAUGAUGCAGAUUUAUUAUUUGUGCGAAUGCAUUAAUAACAAUUCUAUUAAGCUGAUGCUUCAAUUAUGAAGUUAUUGGUCAAGCUACAAAGGGCUCACGGAGGAUACCUAGGCACACAGAGGCGAU
RNAcentral lists this unclassified non-coding RNA (686 nucleotides) under uncultured Prochlorococcus sp. RNAcentral describes it as "partial may contain 16S ribosomal RNA, 16S-23S ribosomal RNA intergenic spacer, and 23S ribosomal RNA". The stretch from base 1 to 97 matches the Rfam family "Bacterial small subunit ribosomal RNA", at positions 1437 to 1533 of the family's 1533-position model. Lineage: Bacteria; Bacillati; Cyanobacteriota; Cyanophyceae; Synechococcales; Prochlorococcaceae. The record is from RNAcentral.